GUACUACUGAUGAGUCCAAAAAUAGGACGAAACAGUUGCCAAGUAC
RNAcentral lists this non-coding RNA (46 nucleotides) under Trichobilharzia regenti. Lineage: Eukaryota; Metazoa; Platyhelminthes; Trematoda; Strigeidida; Schistosomatidae. The record is from RNAcentral.